GCAGUCGAGCGAUGGAUGGGAGCUUGCUCCCUGAAGUUAGCGGCGGACGGGUGAGUAACACGUGGGCAACCUGCCUGUAAGACUGGGAUAACUCGCGGAAACGUGAGCUAAUACCGGAUAAUUUCUUUCUUCACAUGGAGAAAGGUUGAAAGACGGUUAUGCUGUCACUUACAGAUGGGCCCGCGGCGCAUUAGCUAGUUGGUGAGGUAACGGCUCACCAAGGCGACGAUGCGUAGCCGACCUGAGAGGGUGAUCGGCCACACUGGGACUGAGACACGGCCCAGACUCCUACGGGAGGCAGCAGUAGGGAAUCUUCCGCAAUGGACGAAAGUCUGACGGAGCAACGCCGCGUGAGUGAAGAAGGUUUUCGGAUCGUAAAACUCUGUUAUCAGGGAAGAACAAGUACCGUUUAACUGACGGUACCUUGACGGUACCUGACCAGAAAGCCACGGCUAACUACGUGCCAGCAGCCGCGGUAAUACGUAGGUGGCAAGCGUUGUCCGGAAUUAUUGGGCGUAAAGCGCGCGCAGGCGGUCUCUUAAGUCUGAUGUGAAAUCUCGCGGCUCAACCGUGAGCGGUCAUUGGAAACUGGGGGACUUGAGUGCAGAAGAGAAGAGCGGAAUUCCACGUGUAGCGGUGAAAUGCGUAGAGAUGUGGAGGAACACCAGUGGCGAAGGCGGCUCUUUGGUCUGUAACUGACGCUGAGGCGCGAAAGCGUGGGGAGCGAACAGGAUUAGAUACCCUGGUAGUCCACGCCGUAAACGAUGAGUGCUAAGUGUUAGAGGGUUUCCGCCCUUUAGUGCUGCAGCAAACGCAUUAAGCACUCCGCCUGGGGAGUACGGCCGCAAGGCUGAAACUCAAAGGAAUUGACGGGGGCCCG
This 880-nucleotide ribosomal RNA is filed under the name Lederbergia galactosidilytica. RNAcentral describes it as "bacterial SSU rRNA". It matches the Rfam family "Bacterial small subunit ribosomal RNA", at positions 57 to 923 of the family's 1533-position model. Lineage: Bacteria; Bacillati; Bacillota; Bacilli; Caryophanales; Bacillaceae. The record is from RNAcentral.